UAGACAAAAGGAAGCAGAUAUGUAUCGCAUCAAAGAUAAGGCAGACAGAGCAACUGUAGAACAGGUGUUGGAUCCCAGAACAAGAAUGAUUUUAUUCAAGAUGUUGACUAGAGGAAUCAUAACAGAGAUAAAUGGCUGCAUUAGCACAGGAAAAGAAGCUAAUGUAUACCAUGCUAGCACAGCAAAUGGAGAGAGCAGAGCAAUCAAAAUCUAUAAAACUUCUAUUUUGGUGUUCAAAGAUCGGGAUAAAUAUGUAAGUGGAGAAUUCAGGUAAGUUCAGAUUUUUCCCUCCAGUUGGUUUAAUUUCUAUUUCCUAAAACAUUAAAACAAUAAUGGAAUGAUUGAAAUAAUAAACAUUUUUCUUAUUCAAGAUUUCGUCAUGGCUAUUGUAAAGGAAACCCUAGGAAAAUGGUGAAAACUUGGGCAGAAAAAGAAAUGAGGAACUUAAUCAGGCUAAACACAGCAGAGAUACCAUGUCCAGAACCAAUAAUGCUAAGAAGUCAUGUUCUUGUCAUGAGUUUCAUCGGUAAAGAUGACAUGCCUGCACCACUCUUGAAAAAUGUCCAGUUAUCAGAAUCCAAGGCUCGGGAGUUGUACCUGCAGGUCAUUCAGUACAUGAGAAGAAUGUAUCAGGAUGCCAGACUCGUCCAUGCAGAUCUCAGUGAAUUUAACAUGCUGUACCACGGUGGAGGCGUGUAUAUCAUUGAUGUGUCUCAGUCCGUGGAGCACGACCACCCACAUGCCUUGGAGUUCUUGAGAAAGGAUUGCACCAACGUCAAUGAUUUCUUUAUGAAGCACAGUGUUGCUGUCAUGACUGUGCGGGAGCUCUUUGCAUUUGUCACAGAUCCAUCCAUUACACAGGAGAACAUGGAUGCUUAUCUCUCAAAGGCCAUGGAAAUAGCAUCUCAAAGGACCAAGGAAGAACGGUCUAGCCAAGAUCAUGUGGAUGAAGAGGUGUUUAAGCGAGCAUAUAUUCCUAGAACCUUGAAUGAAGUGAAAAAUUAUGAGAGGGAUAUGGACAUAAUUAUGAAAUUGAAGGAAGAGGACAUGGCCAUGAAUGCCCAACAAGAUAAUAUUCUAUACCAGACUGUUACAGGAUUGAAGAAAGAUUUGUCAGGAGUUCAGAAGGUCCCUGCACUCCUAGAAAAUCAAGUGGAGGAAAGGACUUGUUCUGAUUCAGAAGAUACUGGAAGCUCUGAGUGCUCUGACACAGACUCUGAAGAGCAGGGAGACCAUGCCCGCCCCAAGAAACACACCACGGACCCUGACAUUGAUAAAAAAGAAAGAAAAAAGAUGGUCAAGGAAGCCCAGAGAGAGAAAAGAAAAAACAAAAUUCCUAAACAUGUGAAAAAAAGAAAGGAGAAGACAGCCAAGACGAAAAAAGGCAAAUAGAAUGAGAACCAUAUUAUGUACAGUCAUUUUCCUCAGUUCCUUUUCUCGCCUGAACUCUAAGCUGCAUCUGGAAGAUGGCUUAUUGGUUUUAACCAGAUUGUCAUCGUGGCACUGUCUGUGAAGACGGAUUCAAAUGUUUUCAUGUAACUAUGUAAAAAGCUCUAAGCUCUAAGUCUAGAUCCAGUCACUGACUCUGUCUGGUGUUGACAGAGGAUUUAUUUAAGCUAUUAUUUUAAUAAAGAACUUUGUACAUUUUUAUUUUUAUAUUUUUUUCUCUUACAAAUAUGUUUUUGGAAGCAUGAUGAAUGUUUAAAUGUAGUCAACAUCUGUAACUCUUACAUGAGUGUCCAGAGGCACUCAUGGGAAAAUUGGUUUUGCUUUCUUUGUACACACCAGAGACCCAUCUGAGAUCAUCUGAUUAUAAGGCCAUGUUUAUAUAAAGGGAAUUUCACCCACAGUUCAGCUGGCUGUUGAUUUUCACUGCAACUCUGCCUUUGUGUGUAUUGGCGAUCAUUUGUAAUGCUCUUACACUUCGUCUUUAAUGUUCUUUUUGGAGUUAGGACCUCUCAGUUCAUAAAGUUUUUUACAUUCAA
Molecule: small RNA, 1985 nt
Filed under: Pan troglodytes (chimpanzee)
Lineage: Eukaryota; Metazoa; Chordata; Mammalia; Primates; Hominidae
Description: retained intron
Source: RNAcentral